This 253-nucleotide ribosomal RNA is filed under the name uncultured bacterium. RNAcentral describes it as "partial 16S ribosomal RNA". It matches the Rfam family "Bacterial small subunit ribosomal RNA", at positions 524 to 776 of the family's 1533-position model. The record is from RNAcentral.
UACGUAGGGUGCGAGCGUUAAUCGGAAUUACUGGGCGUAAAGCGUGCGCAGGCGGUUCGCUGUGUCCUGUGUGAAAGCCCCGGGCUUAACCUGGGAAUGGCAUUGGAAACUGGCGGACUCGAGUGUGGCAGAGGGGGGUGGAAUUCCGCGUGUAGCAGUGAAAUGCGUAGAGAUGCGGAGGAACACCGAUGGCGAAGGCAGCCCCCUGGGCUAACACUGACGCUCAGGCACGAAAGCGUGGGGAGCAAACAGG